UAGGGAAUCUUCCACAAUGGGCGCANCNGAUGGAGCAACACCGCGUGAGCGAAGAAGGGUUUCGGCUCGUAAAACUCUGUUGUUAAAGAAGAACAUAUCUGAGAGUAACUGUUCAGGUAUUGACGGUAUUUAACCAGAAAGCCACGGCUAACUACGUGCCAA
RNAcentral lists this ribosomal RNA (162 nucleotides) under uncultured bacterium. RNAcentral's name for it is "partial 16S rRNA". It matches the Rfam family "Bacterial small subunit ribosomal RNA", at positions 355 to 511 of the family's 1533-position model. The record is from RNAcentral.